AGCGAACGCUGGCGGCAGGCUUAACACAUGCCAGUCGAGCGGGCAUCUUCGGAUGUCAGCGGCAGACGGGUGAGUAACACGUGGGAACGUACCCUUCGGUUCGGAACAACUCUGGGAAACUGGAGCUAAUACCGGAUACGCCCUUAUGGGGAAAGGUUUACUGCCGAAGGAUCGGCCCGCGUCUGAUUAGCUAGUUGGUGGGGUAACGGCCUACCAAGGCGACGAUCAGUAGCUGGUCUGAGAGGAUGAUCAGCCACACUGGGACUGAGACACGGCCCAGACCCCUACGGGAGGCAGCAGUGGGGAAUAUUGGACAAUGGGCGCAAGCCUGAUCCAGCCAUGCCGCGUGAGUGAUGAAGGCCUUAGGGUUGUAAAGCUCUUUUGUCCGGGACGAUAAUGACGGUACCGGAAGAAUAAGCCCCGGCUAACUUCGUG
Molecule: ribosomal RNA, 435 nt
Filed under: uncultured bacterium
Lineage: Bacteria
Description: partial 16S ribosomal RNA
Rfam family: Bacterial small subunit ribosomal RNA
Source: RNAcentral